RNAcentral lists this ribosomal RNA (301 nucleotides) under uncultured bacterium. RNAcentral's name for it is "partial 16S ribosomal RNA". It matches the Rfam family "Bacterial small subunit ribosomal RNA", at positions 509 to 807 of the family's 1533-position model. The record is from RNAcentral.
CAGCAGCCGCGGGAAUACGAAGGGUGCAAGCGUUAAUCGGAAUUACUGGGCGUAAAGCGUGCGUAGGCGGUGAGUUAAGUCUGCUGUGAAAUCCCCGGGCUCAACCUAGGAAUGGCAGUGGAUACUGGCUCGCUAGAGUGUGUCAGAGGAUGGUGGAAUUCCCGGUGUAGCGGUGAAAUGCGUAGAGAUCGGGAGGAACAUCAGUGGCGAAGGCGGCCAUCUGGGACAACACUGACGCUGAGGCACGAAAGCGUGGGGAGCAAACAGGAUUAGAUACCCCAGUAGUCCCUGUCUCUUAUAC